This 937-nucleotide ribosomal RNA is filed under the name Phrikoceros lizardensis. Its description in RNAcentral is "partial large subunit ribosomal RNA". It matches the Rfam family "Eukaryotic large subunit ribosomal RNA", at positions 110 to 857 of the family's 3401-position model. Lineage: Eukaryota; Metazoa; Platyhelminthes; Polycladida; Pseudocerotidae. The record is from RNAcentral.
CAGCACCGAAUCCUUCACCAUUUCGGUGACAGGAAAUGUGGUGUUUAGGUUGUACCUUGUCCCGUUACGUCUCUCCUCAAGUCCACUUGAUUGUGGCCCCAGGCCCAGAGAGGGUGUAAGGCCCGUGGAGGCGAGAUGUUCGGUACCUGGUGCGUCCUUAGAGUCGGGUUGUUUGGGAAUGCAGCCCUAAGCGGGUGGUAAACUCCAUCCAAGGCUAAAUACUAGCACGAGUCCGAUAGCGAAGAAGUACCGCGAGGGAAGGUUGAAAAGAACUUUGAAGAGAGAGUUCAAGAGUACGUGAAACCGCUGAGAGGCAAACUGGUGGAACUGAAAUGGUCCCGAGGAAUUCAGCCGUUGGUGGGAGUGCAUGCGUCGGUCUCUGAUUUAACGACAGCGCCGGCGGAUGGAGCUCUUGGCAUCGGUGCACUUUCCUCGUUCGGGCCCGACCACGACCGGUGAGUUGAUCUGUCUGUCGUGCUUGGAAGAUAGCGUCAUCUUCGGAAGGCGUGUUAUAGACUUGCAUACGGAGCAGUCGACGCACUGGACGAUAAUGCCUGCCCAUGUGGCUCAUAUGGUGGCUGUUUUGUUGUCGAGUGCUGGUGUCACUACCUCGGUAGAGUCGUCGGCCUCUGUUGGCAUUAUGGUUGUCCUCUAUGAUUGGCAUUGAUAAGUCUGUGGUUGUGAAGUAGGUAGUCCACCUGACCCGUCUUGAAACACGGACCAAGGAGUCUAACAUGUGCGCGAGUCAUUGGGUUCACGAAACCUAAAGGCGCAGUGAAGGUAAAGAUCUGCUUUGGCAGAUUGAGGUGGGAUGCUGGGUUACGCGCCCAGCCGCACUACCGGCCCGUUCUAUAUGUAUCUCAUAGGAGCGGAGCAAGAGCGUACACGUUGGGACCCGAAAGAUGGUGAACUAUGCUUGCGCAGGUCGAAGCCAGAG